This 245-nucleotide ribosomal RNA is filed under the name uncultured bacterium. Its description in RNAcentral is "partial 16S ribosomal RNA". It matches the Rfam family "Bacterial small subunit ribosomal RNA", at positions 524 to 768 of the family's 1533-position model. The record is from RNAcentral.
UACGGAAGGUGCAAGCGUUAAUCGGAAUCACUGGGCGUAAAGCGCACGUAGGCCGUCUCGUAAGUCGGGCGUGAAAGCCCUCGGCUCAACCGGGGAACUGCGCUCGAUACUGCGAGACUUGAGUCCUGGAGAGGGUGGCGGAAUUCCCGGUGUAGGAGUGAAAUCCGUAGAUAUCGGGAGGAACACCAGUGGCGAAGGCGGCCACCUGGACAGGUACUGACGCUGAGGUGCGAAAGCGUGGGGAU